RNAcentral lists this ribosomal RNA (916 nucleotides) under uncultured bacterium. RNAcentral describes it as "bacterial SSU rRNA". It matches the Rfam family "Bacterial small subunit ribosomal RNA", at positions 246 to 1155 of the family's 1533-position model. The record is from RNAcentral.
UUGUUGGUAAGGUAAAAGCUUACCAAGGCUUCGAUCAGUAGCUGGUCUGAGAGGACGACCAGCCACACUGGGACUGAGACACGGCCCAGACUCCUACGGGAGGCAGCAGUGGGGAAUUUUGGACAAUGGGGGCAACCCUGAUCCAGCCAUGCCGCGUGAGUGAAGAAGGCCUUCGGGUUGUAAAGCUCUUUCAGCCGGAACGAAACGGUUACGGAUAACACCCGUGACUACUGACGGUACCGGAAGAAGAAGCACCGGCUAACUACGUGCCAGCAGCCGCGGUAAUACGUAGGGUGCGAGCGUUAAUCGGAAUUACUGGGCGUAAAGCGUGCGCAGGUGGUUUUGUAAGUCAGAUGUGAAAGCCCCGGGCUCAACCUGGGAACUGCGUUUGAAACUACAAGACUAGAGUGCGGCAGAGGGGGGUGGAAUUCCGCGUGUAGCAGUGAAAUGCGUAGAGAUGUGGAGGAACACCGAUGGCGAAGGCAGCCCCCUGGGUCAACACUGACGCUCAGGCACGAAAGCAUGGGGAGCAAACAGGAUUAGAUACCCUGGUAGUCCAUGCCCUAAACGAUGUCAACUAGUUGUCGGGCCUUUACGGGCUUGGUAACGUAGCUAACGCGUGAAGUUGACCGCUUGGGGAGUACGAUCGCAAGAUUAAAACUCAAAUGAAUUGACGGGGACCCGCACAAGCGGUGGAUUAUGUGGAUUAAUUCGAUGCAACGCGAAAAACCUUACCUACCCUUGACAUGUAUCGAAGCCCGCAGAAAAGCGGGGGUGCCCGAAAGGGAACGAUAACACAGGUGCUGCAUGGCUGUCGUCAGCUCGUGUCGUGAGAUGUUGGGUUAAGUCCCGCAACGAGCGCAACCCUUGUCAUUAAUUGCCAUCAUUUAGUUGGGCACUUUAAUGAGACUGCCGG